RNAcentral lists this unclassified non-coding RNA (229 nucleotides) under plant metagenome. RNAcentral describes it as "partial contains small subunit ribosomal RNA, internal transcribed spacer 1, and 5.8S ribosomal RNA". The record is from RNAcentral.
UCUCCGUAGGUGAACCUGCGGAGGGAUCAUUACAGAGUUCAUGCCCUACCGGGUAGAUCUCCCACCCUAUGUUAUUAUUACUUUGUUGCUUUGGCGGGCCGUUAGGCUCCGGCCCGACUACCGGCCCCGGCUGGUAAGCGCCCGCCAGAGGACCCAAAACCCUGAAUAUUAGUGUCGUCUGAGUACUAUAUUAUAGUUAAAACCUUCAACAACGGAUCUCUUGGUUCUG